UACAGAGGGUGCGAGCGUUGUCCGGAAUCACUGGGCGUAAAGGGCGCGUAGGUGGCGCUCCAAGUCCGUGGUGAAAGCUCGAUGCUCAACAUCGAGUCGGCCACGGAGACUGGAGGGCUCGAGCACUGUAGGGGCAGAUGGAAUUCCGGGUGUAGCGGUGGAAUGCGUAGAGAUCCGGAAGAACACCGGAGGCGAAGGCGGUCUGCUGGGCAGUUGCUGACACUGAGGCGCGACAGCGUGGGGAGCAAACAGG
This 253-nucleotide ribosomal RNA is filed under the name uncultured bacterium. Its description in RNAcentral is "partial 16S ribosomal RNA". It matches the Rfam family "Bacterial small subunit ribosomal RNA", at positions 524 to 776 of the family's 1533-position model. The record is from RNAcentral.